CUUAGUAACGGCGAGUGAAGCGGCAAAAGCUCAAAUUUGAAAUCGGCCACCAGGUCGAGUUGUAAUUUGUAGAUUGUAUCUUGAGAGCGGAUUAAAGUCUGUUGGAACACAGCGCCUUAGAGGGUGACAGCCCCGUAAAAUCUAUUCUCAUUGUAAGAUACUUUCGAAGAGUCGAGUUGUUUGGGAAUGCAGCUCUAAGUGGGAGGUAAAUUCCUUCUAAAGCUAAAUAUUGACGAGAGACCGAUAGCGAACAAGUACUGUGAAGGAAAGAUGAAAAGCACUUUGAAAAGAGAGUGAAAAAGUACGUGAAAUUGUUAAAAGGGAAGGGUUAUGGAUUCAGACUUGGUGCUGUUGUUCAACUGUGUUUUGGCACAGUGUACUCAGCAGUACUAGGCCAAGGUGGGGUGUUUGGGAGUGAAAAAGAAGUNUGGAACGUAACUCUUCGGAGUGUUAUAGCCUACUUUCAUAGCUCCUCAGGCGCCUCAGGNUGCGCUU
This 495-nucleotide ribosomal RNA is filed under the name Geotrichum sp. CLV15. RNAcentral describes it as "eukaryotic LSU rRNA". It matches the Rfam family "Eukaryotic large subunit ribosomal RNA", at positions 79 to 600 of the family's 3401-position model. The record is from RNAcentral. Lineage: Eukaryota; Fungi; Ascomycota; Dipodascomycetes; Dipodascales; Dipodascaceae.